RNAcentral lists this ribosomal RNA (498 nucleotides) under uncultured bacterium. Its description in RNAcentral is "partial 16S ribosomal RNA". It matches the Rfam family "Bacterial small subunit ribosomal RNA", at positions 30 to 523 of the family's 1533-position model. The record is from RNAcentral.
AUUGAACGCUGGCGGCAUGCCUUACACAUGCAAGUCGAACGGUAACAGGUCUUCGGAUGCUGACGAGUGGCGAACGGGUGAGUAAUACAUCGGAACGUGCCUAGUAGUGGGGGAUAACAACUCGAAAGAGUGGCUAAUACCGCAUGAGAUCUACGGAUGAAAGCAGGGGAUCGCAAGACCUUGUGCUACUAGAGCGGCCGAUGGCAGAUUGGGUAGUUGGUGAGAUAAAAGCUUACCAAGCCGACGAUCUGUAGCUGGUCUGAGAGGACGAUCAGCCACACUGGGACCGAGACACGGCCCAGACUACUACGGGAGGCAGCAGUGGGGAAUUUUGGACAAUGGGCGAAAGCCUGAUCCAGCAAUGCCGCGUGCAGUAUGAAGGCCUUCGGGUUGUAAACUGCUUUUGUACGGAACGAAAAGCCCCGGGUUAAUACCCUGGGGUCAUGACGGUACCGUAAGAAUAAGCACCGGCUAACUACGUGCCAGCCGCCGCCGCAG